UCAUGCCAUCCAGUGCUCUGUGGCUCCCCCAAAUCCUUGCGUGAUAGGGGCUUAGCUCCCACACUGUGCAGAUUCAAGCAGACAGCAAACACUGGACAACAGUCCUAAAGUGUAAGGACACUUGACAGCCUAUAUGACACCAACUGGCAAUUGGAAUAACAAACUGCACACUCAGCAGGUGCUCCCAGUGAGUGUGAGAGGCCACACGGAAAGGAUGCUUUGGAUGACAUGCUGGUUACUCACGCUGAAAUGAAGAUGGUGCCCACCACUUUCUGCCCACUCAUACCACCUCCAGUAUUCUGCGACAGUGGGGACCACCUGCCUCUCUGAAGCUUCUCAUCAGGGAUGACCAAGGGCAGGUCAGGGAGGACGGAGUUGCAGGCCACCACAUAUCCCAGGGACUGUUUCCCAGCUCUGUCAGUGUCUCCCCUGGGACUUGGCAUUGCUUUGCAACAUGCUUUUCUCAUCUGGGAGAAUAUGCUUUUGCAACAGCAUCCAAGCCCCAACGUUAUCAUAGGCCUGUUCUUACAUGGACCCAUUCUUAACUUGAACACAAAAAAAGCAGUCAGAUAUCAGAACAGAAAAUUCCCAAUACCCUCUAAAAAGGGGAGAAAAUGAAAAGUUUUUAAAAAUCGUACCUCCCAAAUGUACUUACAAAAAGCAGGGUUUUUAAUAUAAUUUCAGAGUAUAUUUUUCUCCUCCUCUCCUACUCAAUUUACUGAGUACUCCCAGGUACAGAAGGAGAAGGAAUUUUUCUUUGACCCUUUCCCUAUUAUGUCUAUUCUCAUCACUUCACAGAAGGAAAAUCCACACCCAGGUCAAAGCCAAUUCCUAAAUACUUCAUUUAACUUUUGUGAAGGGAGCAGGCAUGACUCAGAGAAACAGGACACAUUUCCUGCUUCCUAGGACAUUAUAACCCUUCAUGGGAUAAAGAACACAUUCUACAGUACACUUAAAUGUGUGACAAAUGAGAGGCACAGGCCUUAAGUGCCAUAAAAACUGCUAGAAAAGAGAAGUCACUUCCCUUAGGUGAAAUGUGAAAGGCUUCAUUAAGAACCAGGAAGUGAGUUGGGCUUGACUGGAGGGGUAAAAUUCUGAUGGGUGGAUGCAGAUGAACAGGUGCCCUAUGAGCACUGAUGGCAGCUUAAGAAGGACCAGGUGAAGGCAUGGCAAUGGCAAGGAGAGAAUCCAGAAACAACCCAGAAAGGCAGGUGAGGCUGGACUGCAGAAGCCCUUGAAUGCUGGUUAAUAAGUGGGUGUGCAGUGUUAUGAGCACUGGGGAUGCUCUGCUGAAUCUGAAUAUAAAGAGUGGCAUUAUGAAAGAAUGGGCAGAUUGACCGGGCAGAUUGUGUAUUAGGGAGAUUUUUGUCUGAAAUGGGGCCAAACAGAAAAACAGUAAAGGCAGGGAGCCCAUACAGCUAACUGAAUGAAAGAAAGUAUGAGAUGUUCAUGAAGAUACAGGAGGGAACCGAUCACAGAGCGGAGCGUCGCUGACAGGAGCAUGCCGAAGCAAAGCGCUGGGGAAUUUCCAGUGAGGUCGGGAACAUUGAUUAAGAAAGUGAUGAGAAAGGGAGUGACAUGAAAGGUAGGAGAGUAGGAAUCAGGAGAGCAGAAAUCUUCAAAGAGAAACUAAAGGCUCUUGUGUCUUCUACUUAGCUUGUAGACUUUCCUUCUCACCUAAUCCACAUGCCCGCAGGGCACAGGGUGUAAGAGCUGCCUACCUUCCCCCUGAGGUUAGGCCUCCUCUUCCCCAUGGGAGAAAAAUUAUUGAUCCUAAUUUCAGCCUGGCUUGAUCCUUAGAGCAGGUACCUUUACACACUUUACAAACAGUACAACCAUCUGUAGUGCUCAUGGAAUGACCCAAAUAUGGAACAGAGGAGAGACAGUAACGCCUCUGGGGAAUUCCAGUUCAUAAGUAAUUAUUAGCUUGCCUCCAACCCUGGCUAAGCGCCUCCCUCUUGGACAGAAGUGAUUGAUUCUCAUGAGGAAAGACUGAACCACACAAGACAACUUCUCUUCAAGGAAAAGUGGAUUCACUGCCACUACAUUCAAUUUUAUUAUACAUUAUAUUAAUAUAUGUUAUAUAAAUGCUCUCAUAGCACUUAAUUGUUUUACAUUUAAUAGUAUAAUUACUAUCAUCCUGGAAGUAAUGUUUUGCAAGUUUUGCUUAUUUUUAUCAUUUGUUUUGCCAGUUAAAAUAGUAAUAAUUCUUACAAAAUUCAGUGUGUUACCUCAUUAUGUGAAUUAAUAGUGAGAUUAGUUAACUUCAGAAAACAUAAUUCCAUGUAUCUUCAAUAUAGGCUUCUCCAGGUUGUUAAAGGCAAUUGCCUCACUUUGCAUAGAUAAUAUCAUUUGACUCAUUUACAAAGAAACAUUUAUUGAGCAUCUAUUAUGUGCCAUACACUGUACCAUCUAUUUGUACAGAAGGAAAGAUAUUUAAGACACAGCCUCCAUGCUAAGGCCAUUUAUGUGCCUCCAUUUAUGAGCCAGUGCAUAGAUGGCCACAGGCAAUUAGCACUGAGUUUGAUCCCCAAAUCUGCAAAAUCAGAGUCUCUGACUCUGCCAUAAAUCCUUUCUAUACUUCUAUGCAUUGUAGUAGAGGGUUGCAGCCAGUGCUAGAGUACUGUGCUUUCCUCACAGGGCUACUUUCAGAGAUUUUUAAAUGAUUUAAAGGAUUCUAAAAGGAUUUAAAUGGAUUCCUUUGUCGGGUUACUUUAAGGGAAUUUAAAGACUGACUCCAGAAUGUGUGUAUAAGCUAAAAAAUUAAUUUUUAAUUAAUCAUGCAGUCAGUGGUAUCCAUAGAAGUAGCUAUAUAGAUUUCAGACAUGCUACCACUGCACCAAAUCUCUUUGACAUUUCUCUUUUGCAAUAAAGAAGGUCAAGUUUAUGGGCCACAAGGUCAGUUUAUGGGCCACUAAAGAAACUCCAUCUCAUUUCUUAUAAUUAAAGGGUAGUCUUUUUUGAUUCAAAAACAUUUUAUGUGGUAAAAAAACAUAGAAAAAUUACUAUUCCAAUUGUUUAAAGUGUAAAAUUCAGAAGGCAUUCACUACUAUCACCACUAUGUAGUUUCAGGACAUUUUCUCAUUCCCAAGAGGAAAUCCCAUGCACAUUAAAUAGUCACUCCCCAUUCUCCUUCUCUCCCAGCCCUUAGUAACCAUUAACCAUUUUCUAUCUCUGUGGAUUUUCCUAUUCUGGGUAUUUCAUAUAAACAGAAUCAUACAAUA
This is a long non-coding RNA of Manis javanica (Malayan pangolin), 3224 nucleotides long. RefSeq lists it as uncharacterized. The record is from RefSeq and is a predicted model, not a curated record. Lineage: Eukaryota; Metazoa; Chordata; Mammalia; Pholidota; Manidae.